This 426-nucleotide ribosomal RNA is filed under the name uncultured Pseudomonadota bacterium. Its description in RNAcentral is "bacterial SSU rRNA". It matches the Rfam family "Bacterial small subunit ribosomal RNA", at positions 356 to 774 of the family's 1533-position model. The record is from RNAcentral. Lineage: Bacteria; Pseudomonadati; Pseudomonadota.
GGGGAAUUUUGGACAAUGGGCGAAAGCCUGAUCCAGCAAUGCCGCGUGCAGGAUGAAGGCCUUCGGGUUGUAAACUGCUUUUGUACGGAACGAAAAGGCUCUGGCUAAUACCUGGGGCACAUGACGGUACCGUAAGAAUAAGCACCGGCUAACUUCGUGCCAGCAGCCGCGGUAAUACGAAGGGUGCAAGCGUUACUCGGAAUUACUGGGCGUAAAGCGUGCGUAGGUGGUGGUUUAAGUCCGUUGUGAAAGCCCUGGGCUCAACCUGGGAACUGCAGUGGAUACUGGAUCACUAGAGUGUGGCAGAGGGUAGUGGAAUUCCCGGUGUAGCAGUGAAAUGCGUAGAGAUCGGGAGGAACAUCAGUGGCGAAGGCGACUGCCUGGGCCAACACUGACACUGAGGCACGAAAGCGUGGGGAGCAAACA